Molecule: long non-coding RNA, 3582 nt
Filed under: Pan troglodytes (chimpanzee)
Lineage: Eukaryota; Metazoa; Chordata; Mammalia; Primates; Hominidae
Description: long non-coding RNA NONPTRT014966
Source: RNAcentral
UUAUCAUCCACAUUGCUGACCUGGAAGAUGCAUCAUUGUCUAUGAUAUCUGCAAUGGAAAUGAUCACUAGGCAAUUUCAGCCUUGCAAAUCUAACCCUUUGGAAUGAGUACACAUCCAGGAGUGAAGAAGACAAGCUCAACUGCCAUUCUCUGAGCAGUUCAAGGCAUACUGAGGUGCGGGAGUUGUGUGGUGGUCCACUCUGACUGCAAGCACCCCUUUCUUGAACCGAACAGAGUCAAGUGGAAUCAAAGGACAUUACCUGUUGAUUCUUGGGCAAGGCCCAGAAUUUGGUGGACAUACUUAAAGAAGAAAGGAAUCUUCAGCUAAAGUGUCUACGAUCAAUUCAGAUUUGGAGGGCAUGGAUCUUCUGACAGUAGGGGCCUUUCUAGGAUUUUUUGGUUGAAGAGAUGAACUUCAACUUGGUUCCAGAUUGGUGGUCCAGCUAUUCUGCUGGCAACAUUUUUCAGGGCAAGGCUUUUGCUACUGGAAUGAUUUAAGGAAGAUCCCUCAGUGUUUCAGAGUAAAGAUAUUUCUAAAGAAGUACCUGUGUCAUUGCCCAUCUUGAAGAUUGACUUUUAUGGAUUGCUCAAAUACUGAUAUCGGCUCAAUGUCAAUAUAUACUCCUACAUACAAAAUCCAUCUUCUAAUCAUAAUCACUAGGUGGAUAUUGUUAUGCAAGGAAGAGAUGUGAAUAUACAGGAAAUGAGAUCCUUAAAGGGGUUGCCAUCCAGAUGUUAGAUCAAAGAGAUUAUGAUUCAUUCAACCAAGUCGCUGGACUUUUGAAGGCCUAUCCAAGUCGUGGUGCCUUUGAGGUUGCGCCUGUUACUAUUCAAAACUUGGUUUUAACCAUUUAAGGCCAUGAGGUGUGAGGUCUUUUGAGAGUGAAAGAACUCAUAUUAAUCCAGCUCCUGACUCCUAAAAAAACAGUAACUCUUGUAAUUAAAAUGGGCAGCCCUCGCAUGACCUGCUGAAUCACAUCAAGGUUGAAGCAUUGGCCCUCCAAUCAAUGAUUAGUUCUAGGAGAGGGGAUGAGGUGCUGUCUUCUCCAACUUCUCCAACUGUGCCUGAACAGUCACACGUCAUGUCAGUGCAUAUAGAGAAUGAAGCAUCAGUCAACCAAACUACGCUGGAGUGGAGCAUAGAGUCCUGUGACAGAAGAAGAGGAGGAAGAGAAAGAAGAAUCAGAUCCCUAAAGGAGGGAAAAAGCCAGGAUUCGUUAUACAAAUUAAAUUUCUAAGUCUCAGGCUCUUUCUCCCCAAGGAAAUCAUCUUGCCAUGAGCCCUAGGGCCUGCUUGAAUGGAGAGCAAGAACUAUAGGAGGAUGUGUAGCUGCAAAAAUUUCUCAUCAAUAACUCAAUCUUCAGAACGUUAUGACAUACAGAAAAUCAAAGAUGCUGUGUCUUAGCAUUGAGCAAUAUGGGUGGUGCUAUGUCUGUAGUCUGGUCAAAUUCAGUAACUGUUCAAAACAAAAUUUCCUCUGGAAUACUAUUGAGAAAAUCUGGCAUUUGCAAAAAGGGCAGAGUUUAAAUAUGAGUCAGUCUUUCCAAUCAACAAUACCUCUUUUAAGAAAACCAACUAAAAGCUGUUUGCAUGCCGUUGAAUCCUUGUGAGCAGUUAGGCCACAGUCUAGGACAGAAAGAUGACACGGGGAAGGACUGAGGGCCAUCUGAGAACAAAGGUUGUUGCUACUUCUCAGAGUCAUUGAGACACACUGCAUGCUGUAGACUGCUUUGUGUAGCUGUUAUCACAUCUUGCUUGAGAUGUCAUUGGCAGAAUGUUCUUGGAAAUAAAUUAUAGAUAAAUAGCCAUCAUGGAGUUUGCUGGUUUCUAGAUAGCAAAAGAGAAAAGAAGCAGUUCCGGCCUGGCACGGUGGCUCAUGCCUGUAAGCCCAGCACUUUGGGAGGCUGAGGUGAGUAGAUCACUUGAGGUCAGGAGCUCGAGACCAACCUGGCCAACAUGGUGAAACCCUGUCUCUAUUAAAAAUACAAAAAUUAGCUGGGCAUGGUGGCAUGCGCCUGUAAUCCCAGCUACUCAGGAGGCUGAGGCAGGAUAAUCACUUGAACUCAGGAGGUGGAGGUGGCAGUGAGCCGAGAUUUUGCCAAUGCACUCCAGCUGGGGCAACAGAGCGAGACUCUGUCUCAAAAAAAAAAAAAAAAAAAAAGAAAGAAAGAAAGAAAAAGAAAAAGAAAAAAGAAAAAAAAAGAAGCAGUUCCUCCUCUAAUGAAAACAUACAACAAGAUAGUUUGAAAUUCAUUUCUGGCCCUUAGAGAAGAAGUGUGCCAUGCUUGGAAGACUGGAUUUUUAUAACAGAGAUGGCAGCUACAGAAUAAGAGUUGUUGAUACUUGGGAUCUGAAGUAGAGAUCAUUUCUGCAUACUGUCCCUUUUCCACUCACUAUACAGUGAAAUGAGUAGUUGCUUAAUAUUAUAAAAUUAAUUUUCCCUGCCAAAGCAACAGUGAAAGCCAAACAAAAUACAAAUAACCUUCUCAAGCAGAAUUUAUGUAACAGUUCCCAGAGAAACAUGGAUACCCUUUUUUGUUAAUCAGCAUUUCAUUAAAGUUAUGUUGAGUUACUCUUAGAGAAAACAGACAAAAGAAAUUGCAGCAUAUGUAACAGUUAAAAGAAUUAAUAACUGCAAUAUGUAAAGAGUAACACUAGUUAAUUAGUAAAAACAAAUAACCAAUAAUACAUGGACAAAGAAUAAGAAAUUCACAGAAGAAAUACAGUUAUUAGUGAGAAGCAAUGGCUCACGCCUGUAAUUCCAGCACUUUGGGAGGCCGAGGUGGGCAGAUCACCUGAGGUCAGGAGUUCGAGACCAGUCUGGCCAACAUGGUGAAACCCUGUCUCUACUGGAAAAUACAAAAAUUAGCCAGGUGUGGUGGCGGACACCUGUAAUCCCAGCUACUCAGGAAGCUGAGGCAGGAGAAUCACUUGAACCUGGGAGGUAGAGGUUGCAGUGAGCCGAGAUCAGGCCAUUGCACUCCAGCUUGGGCGGGAAGAGUGAAACUCCAUCUCAAAAAAAAAAAAAAAAAAGAAAAGAAAAGAAAAGAAAUGCAGUUAUCUAAUUAAACACAUUAACAUUUGCUUAGCUUCUUCACUAGUGCUAAGAGGAAUUAAAGCAAUGAGAUAUGAUUUUUACAAAAAUGGGUAUGAUUUAAAAUCAGUUUUGUCUGAUAGUAUGUUCUGAUGAAACUGGGGGGAAACCAGCAUUCUCAUACAUGCUUGUUGGUGCAUAAACCAACAUGACUAUCUUCAUGGGCAUUUUGGCAAUAUCUAUUAAAGUGAGAAAUAUGCAUUCUCUAUGUCCUUGCACUUUCUCUUUUCCGUAUCUAUCUCAGAAAAAAAAAACAGCCUUAUGAAGUAAAUUUAGGGACACAGUGGAGCAGCUAGCACACAGGUAGAUGCAGAAGCAAACCUCUGCUUUGGGCCUUAGUGUCCAAGCCUGGAAAUAAAAGGGGUUUGAUUAUGUGAUCUGUAAAGUUUUCUUUAGUUCUAAAUAUUACGCAUCUCUUACAUGAAAUUCAGUAAUGAGUGGAUGAAAGCAUUUUAAGUAAUCUUCUACUAUUAACAAGUUCAGUGGUU